This 622-nucleotide ribosomal RNA is filed under the name uncultured bacterium. Its description in RNAcentral is "bacterial SSU rRNA". The stretch from base 1 to 542 matches the Rfam family "Bacterial small subunit ribosomal RNA", at positions 338 to 873 of the family's 1533-position model. The record is from RNAcentral.
CCUACGGGAGGCAGCAGUGGGGAAUUUUGGACAAUGGACGCAAGUCUGAUCCAGCCAUGCCGCGUGUGGGAAGAAGGCCUUCGGGUUGUAAACCACUUUUGUCAGGGAAGAAACGGCUCGGGUUAAUACCUUGGGCUAAUGACGGUACCUGAAGAAUAAGCACCGGCUAACUACGUGCCAGCAGCCGCGGUAAUACGUAGGGUGCAAGCGUUAAUCGGAAUUACUGGGCGUAAAGCGUGCGCAGGCGGUUAUGCAAGACAGAUGUGAAAUCCCCGGGCUCAACCUGGGAACUGCAUUUGUGACUGCAUGGCUAGAGUACGGUAGAGGGGGAUGGAAUUCCGCGUGUAGCAGUGAAAUGCGUAGAUAUGCGGAGGAACACCGAUGGCGAAGGCAAUCCCCUGGACCCGUACUGACGCUCAUGCACGAAAGCGUGGGGAGCAAACAGGAUUAGAUACCCUGGUAGUCCACGCCCUAAACGAUGUCAACUGGUUGUUGGGAGGGUUUCUUCUCAGUAACGUAGCUAACGCGUGAAGUUGACCGCCUGGGGAGGACGGCCGCGAGUAGUUAACGUUACGAAGAAGUUAGUAGGCGNGAGAGNGCGAGGCGACGACGAGGGAGGAGG